This 277-nucleotide ribosomal RNA is filed under the name uncultured prokaryote. Its description in RNAcentral is "partial 16S ribosomal RNA". It matches the Rfam family "Bacterial small subunit ribosomal RNA", at positions 524 to 800 of the family's 1533-position model. The record is from RNAcentral.
UACGGAGGGAGCUAGCGUUGUUCGGAAUUACUGGGCGUAAAGCGCACGUAGGCGGCAUACCAAGUCAGGGGUGAAAUCCCGGGGCUCAACCCCGGAACUGCCCUUGAAACUGGUAAGCUAGAAUCCUGGAGAGGCGAGUGGAAUUCCGAGUGUAGAGGUGAAAUUCGUAGAUAUUCGGAAGAACACCAGUGGCGAAGGCGACUCGCUGGACAGGUAUUGACGCUGAGGUGCGAAAGCGUGGAGAGCAAACAGGAUUAGAUACCCCGGUAGUCCCUGA